AAAAACAUGUCCUUUAGAAUUUAAUUUAAGGUCUAGCCUGCCCACUGAUAUAAUUAAAUGGCCGCAGUAUUUUAACUGUGCAAAGGUAGCAUAAUCAUUAGUCUUUUAAUUGAAGGCUUGUAUGAAUGGUUGGACGAAAUAUUAACUGUUUCAUAAAAAUUUAUUUAGAAUUUUAUUUUUUAGUUAAAAAGCUAAAAUUUUUUUAAAAGACGAGAAGACCCUAUAGAUCUUUAUAAUUUAUUUAUUAUAGUUAUAUAGAUUAUUUAAAUUAUGAUUUUAUAAAUUAUUUUGUUGGGGUGACAUUAAAAUUUAAUAAACUUUUAAUAAAUUUUUACAUUAAUUUAUGAAUUAUUGAUCCAUUAUUAGUGAUUAUAAAAUUAAGUUACCUUAGGGAUAACAGCGUAAUUUUUUUGAAGAGUUCAUAUCGAUAAAAAAGAUUGCGACCUCGAUGUUGGAUUAAGAUAUAAUUUUGGGUGCAGCAAUUCAAUAAUUAAGUCUGUUCGACUUUUAAUUUCUUACAUGA
Molecule: ribosomal RNA, 523 nt
Filed under: Ectinorhynchus sp. 'Bribie'
Lineage: Eukaryota; Metazoa; Arthropoda; Insecta; Diptera; Therevidae
Description: partial 16S ribosomal RNA
Rfam family: Bacterial large subunit ribosomal RNA
Source: RNAcentral